GACGAACGCUGGCGGCGUGCCUAAUACACGCAAGUCGAACGAAGCUGUUUUAACUGGUGCUUGCACCGACUUAAACAACUGAGUGGCGAACGGGUGAGUAACACGUGGGUAACCUGCCCCAAAGCGGGGGAUAACAUUUGGAAACAGAUGCUAAUACCGCAUAACCACAGAAACCACAUGGUUUCUGUGUCAAAGAUGGUUUCGGCUAUCACUUUGGGAUGGACCCGCGGCGUAUUAGCUAGUUGGUAAGGUAAUGGCUUACCAAGGCAAUGAUGAGUGACCGAACUGAGAGGUGUAUCGGCCACAUUGGGAAUGAGACACGGCCCGAACUCCUACGGGAGGCAGCAGUAGGGAAUCUUCCACAAUGGACGAAAGUCUGAUGGAGCAACGCCGCGUGAGUGAAGAAGGUUUUCGGAUCGUAAAACUCUGUUGUCAGAGAAGAACGUGUGCGAGAGUAACUGCUCGUGCAGUGACGGUAUCUGGCCAGAAAGCCACGGCUAACUACGUGCCAGCCGCCGCAGUAA
RNAcentral lists this ribosomal RNA (524 nucleotides) under uncultured bacterium. RNAcentral describes it as "partial 16S ribosomal RNA". It matches the Rfam family "Bacterial small subunit ribosomal RNA", at positions 28 to 523 of the family's 1533-position model. The record is from RNAcentral.